CAGUGGCGAGAUGUUAGAAAGUACGGGUUUCGGCUGUCACUACAAGAGUCGGGCCCGCGGCGCAUUAGCUAGUUGGGUAGGUAAGUGGCCUACCAAGGCGACGAUGCUAGCCGACCUGAGAGGGUGAUCGGCCACACUGGGACUGAGACACGGCCCAGACUCCUACGGGAGGCAGCAGUAGGGAAUCUUCCACAAUGGACGAAAGUCUGAUGGAGCAACGCCGCGUGAGUGAAGAAGGUUUUCGGAUCGUAAAACUCUGUUGUAAGGGAAGAACACGUACGAGAGUAACUGCUCGUACCUUGACGGUACCUUAUUAGAAAGCCACGGCUAACUACGUG
RNAcentral lists this ribosomal RNA (338 nucleotides) under uncultured bacterium. RNAcentral describes it as "bacterial SSU rRNA". It matches the Rfam family "Bacterial small subunit ribosomal RNA", at positions 186 to 507 of the family's 1533-position model. The record is from RNAcentral.